RNAcentral lists this long non-coding RNA (803 nucleotides) under Zostera marina. RNAcentral's name for it is "long non-coding RNA (ZMAR_LNC000602)". The record is from RNAcentral. Lineage: Eukaryota; Viridiplantae; Streptophyta; Magnoliopsida; Alismatales; Zosteraceae.
ACAAAACACCAUCAAUCUUCAGCAAAUAUCGAUACAUUGCAUUAACCACACAAAACACCAUCAAAUUAAGGCAAAUGAUCAAAGUUUACAAUUACAAUUCACACCCAGAUAACAUUACAAAUCAGUAUGCGCAAUUUAAGAGGGUGUUAAAUAUAAUCACUUAAAGAGCAAUACAAGUUGAAAUAGAUAACAACCAUGAUUAGUUACUAAUCACUCUGACCGUUGUAUUAAUUCAUAUAAAUACUCUCGUUGACUUAGUCAAUACCAUUGAAAUCUGUUGUGAAUCAUCUAGGAUUUGAGUCUUAAUAUGAAUUGGGUAAUAUUGCUCCUAAUCCGAUGUGCAUGUUAUCGGAGCGAAACUUUCGUUGCUCACACUAAGUUUAGGCAUGUUAUCAUGGAUCUCAAAUUCGUUCAGAUAAUGGGUCGUUGGUUAUUAAACAUAUUUCCAGCUCCGAUUAUUGGACGAACAUCCUCACCAAACCAUUCCGACCGAAGACGUUCUUAUUUCUUCAAGCCAAACUUGUUGGGUAUCCACACAGGUUUGAGAGGGAGUAUUAGUCCAAGUAUAUCAUUAAUUUUGGUAAUUGUAUAGCCUAACUUUUAGUUAAUUGUUUGUUUGUUAUUGCCAGUAGCGUGUACGUCUAUCUAUCGCACACAGUCGCUGAAUGAACAUCCAUUGAUCAUAUUACACCCACCCAAUUGCAAUCGCUAACUCUGAUAUGUUUAAAAAAAAAGAUGGCUUUGCCAAUUGGCAUCACACAUUUCUUUACCUGCCCGAUAACGGGGUUGUUUUAGAAUUCUAG